Paramuricea clavata is the source of this 557-nucleotide non-coding RNA. The record is from the annotation of a GenBank genome assembly. Lineage: Eukaryota; Metazoa; Cnidaria; Anthozoa; Malacalcyonacea; Plexauridae.
UGGUCACCGCCGAUACUCGAUAGUUCAUUAAAGUGUUCUCGAAAUGUAGAGCAAAAGUCGCGGAUAAUAACUUAGUGGAACAGUAUAAGUUAAUACAACAUUGCCCUAGUUCACUGGAAUGACUUGGAAAAGAAGAAAACCACAUUUAUUCUCGGGUUUGAAAACUGUAACAUAUUAUCAAGAGCGUUUGCUAUUAUGAAGAGACCUGCAAUUUGUUUGAGACGCCAUUUUGUACCUCACGUCGUGACGAAUUAAGAUGACUCUUUAAUCGCGGGGUGGACUUUUUACAUGGUUAGUAUUAAAGUAUGUUCUUUACGUGUGGUUUCCAACACCUGAUUUUGUUGUUUUGCUAAUCCCCAGUUGUAUGUGAGCAGAAUAGUUCUUCCAUAUUAAAGUCUAAGCGAGGAUUUCCACGGAGAAAUAUUUCGUCGUCGAAACGAGGGAAACUCACGCGAGUUAAAUCUGUAUGUUACAACCCUGUGUAAUCAACAGUCAUGAUAUAACCAGAAUGUUAGAAGGUAUAUAUCAGACUUGUUAGAACAACCUUGUAACAAGUC